GAUGAACGCUAGCGGCAGGCCUAACACAUGCAAGUCGAGGGGCAUCACGGAUUGCUUGCAAUCUGGUGGCGACCGGCGCACGGGUGCGUAACGCGUAUACAACCUACCUUUUGGAGGGGAAUAGCCCAGAGAAAUUUGGAUUAAUACCCCAUAGUAUAUAGGAAUCUCCUGAUUUUUAUAUUUAAACAUUUAUGGCCAUUAGAUGGGUAUGCGUCCUAUUAGCUAGUUGGUGUGGUAACGGCACACCAAGGCUACGAUAGGUAGGGGUCCUGAGAGGGAGAUCCCCACACUGGUACUGAGACACGGACCAGACUCCUACGGGAGGCAGCAGUGAGGAAUAUUGGACAAUGGGCGGGAGCCUGAUCCAGCCAUGCCGCGUGCAGGAAGACUGCCCUAUGGGUUGUAAACUGCUUUUACAGAGGAAGAACCACCCCCACGUGUGGGGGUUUGACGGUACUCUGCGAAUAAGGAUCGGCUAACUCCGUG
RNAcentral lists this ribosomal RNA (486 nucleotides) under uncultured bacterium. RNAcentral's name for it is "bacterial SSU rRNA". It matches the Rfam family "Bacterial small subunit ribosomal RNA", at positions 28 to 507 of the family's 1533-position model. The record is from RNAcentral.